This 467-nucleotide ribosomal RNA is filed under the name uncultured bacterium. RNAcentral describes it as "partial 16S ribosomal RNA". It matches the Rfam family "Bacterial small subunit ribosomal RNA", at positions 29 to 507 of the family's 1533-position model. The record is from RNAcentral.
ACGCACGCUGGCGGCGUGCUUCACACCUGCACGUCGAACGGAAAGGCCCUGCUUUUGUGGGGUGCUCGAGUGGCGAACGGGUGAGUAACACGUGAGUAACCUGCCCUUGACUUUGGGAUAACUUCAGGAAACUGGGGCUAAUACCGGAUAGGAGCUCCUGCUGCAUGGUGGGGGUUGGAAAGUUUCGGCGGUUGGGGAUGGACUCGCGGCUUAUCAGCUUGUUGGUGGGGUAGUGGCUUACCAAGGCUUUGACGGGUAGCCGGCCUGAGAGGGUGACCGGCCACAUUGGGACUGAGAUACGGCCCAGACUCCUACGGGAGGCAGCAGUGGGGAAUAUUGCACAAUGGGCGGAAGCCUGAUGCAGCAACGCCGCGUGCGGGAUGACGGCCUUCGGGUUGUAAACCGCUUUCGCCUGUGACGAAGCGUGAGUGACGGUAAUGGGUAAAGAAGCACCGGCUAACUACGUG